This 433-nucleotide ribosomal RNA is filed under the name uncultured bacterium. RNAcentral describes it as "partial 16S ribosomal RNA". It matches the Rfam family "Bacterial small subunit ribosomal RNA", at positions 29 to 507 of the family's 1533-position model. The record is from RNAcentral.
AACGAACGCUGGCGGCAUGCCUAACACAUGCAAGUCGAACGAGACCUUCGGGUCUAGUGGCGCACGGGUGCGUAACGCGUGGGAACCUGCCCUUAGGUUCGGAAUAACUCCCCGAAAGGGGUGCUAAUACCGGAUAAUGUCUUCGGACCAAAGAUUUAUCGCCUUUGGAUGGGCCCGCGUUGGAUUAGCUAGUUGGUAGGGUAAAAGCCUACCAAGGCGACGAUCCAUAGCUGGUCUGAGAGGAUGAUCAGCCACACUGGGACUGAGACACGGCCCAGAAUCCUACGGGAGGCAGCAGUGGGGAAUAUUGGACAAUGGGCGAAAGCCUGAUCCAGCAAUGCCGCGUGAGUGAUGAAGGCCUUAGGGUUGUAAAGCUCUUUUACACGGGAUGAUAAUGACAGUAACGGGAGAAUAAGCUCCGGCUAACUCCGUG